UUCAUUACAAAAGAGAAAAUUUAAGGAUACUAAGAGUUUUCUCGUUUAAGCUUACAAAAACACAUAAUUAUUCCCAAAAGAUACUUCAAAACUAACUUUUAGUUCACACCUCCUAACUAUUCUUCUUCUAGGAAGCACACUCAUGUGUUGAAUGAUUCUUCUAUAUUGCUUGUUUGUAAGGAAGAGCUGGAUUGGUAAACUAUAUAUAUGCUACUUGGGUGAAAUUCGAUAUAGGGAUGAGAAUUGGAGGUUGAUACCACACAAACUGAGGGCAAGGCACUAAUCUUUGAGUGAACCUAUAUUAUCUAACAACUUAUGGAUCUCCUCCUUCAAAUAAUAGCAGUCAUCAAUAGUGUGAACUGGCAUUCCCGAGCCAAAGGUGCAUGGCCUGGCUAGAUUGAAAUAUAGGGGAAGGAUAGGAGAUUUCAGUUGCUUGAUCCCAGCUAAUUUCAAUCUCUUACAUAUGAAUGAAGAUGGUUAAUUCAGUGGGAUGAAACUUUUAAGUUUUCUCAUUUUGGGAAUUGGCGGCGAAGGGCUUGGCGCUUCAACAGUCAAUAUUUUCACUUGUCUCAACCCAAUUGCUUUUUGAAAGAAAGACUUCAAAAAAUUUAUUUGCUUUUGAUUUGAACUUUGGAAAGUAAAAAGAAAAUAUUUUUGUUUGAAUUUCCGUUUGUUUUCUAUUCUUCUUAAAGAAGAAAGAAAAUAUUUUUUAAUUUUCGAUAUUGCUUCUUAAUUUCCGAAAGGGGGAC
RNAcentral lists this long non-coding RNA (749 nucleotides) under Nicotiana benthamiana. RNAcentral's name for it is "long non-coding RNA (NBEN_LNC017710)". Lineage: Eukaryota; Viridiplantae; Streptophyta; Magnoliopsida; Solanales; Solanaceae. The record is from RNAcentral.